GAUGAAGAACGCAGCGAAAUGCGAUAAGUAAUGCGAAUUGCAGAAUCCGUGAGUCAUCGAAUCUUUGAACGCACAUUGCGCCCUUUGGUAUUCCGAAGGGCAUGCCUGUUCGAGCGUCAUUAUCACCCCUCAAGCCCCGGCUUGGUGUUGGGCUCUCGGUGGUCGUCUCCGACCACCCGUCUCAAAGAUAGUGACGGCGUCCCAGAGGGAACCGGUACGAGGAGCUUUCACGAGCAUGUACGCGGGACGACUCUGAGGGCGACGGUCUUAUUUACUUUAUAUACAAGUGUUGACCUCGGAUCAGGUAGGAAUACCCGCUGAACUUAAGCAUAUCAAUAAGCGGAGGA
This 347-nucleotide unclassified non-coding RNA is filed under the name soil metagenome. RNAcentral's name for it is "partial contains 5.8S ribosomal RNA, internal transcribed spacer 2, and large subunit ribosomal RNA". The stretch from base 1 to 119 matches the Rfam family "5.8S ribosomal RNA", at positions 35 to 154 of the family's 154-position model. The record is from RNAcentral.